AUACGUAGGGAGCGAGCGUUGUCCGGAAUUACUGGGCGUAAAGGGCGCGUAGGCGGCGCUUCAAGUCGUCUGUCAAAUGGGAGGGCUUAACCCUUUUUCGCAGACGAAACUGGAGAGCUUGAGAAGCAGAGAGGCAAACAGAAUUCCUGGUGUAGCGGUGAAAUGCGUAGAUAUCAGGAAGAAUACCAGUGGCGAAGGCGGUUUGCGGGCUGCAUACUGACGCUGAAGCGCGAAAGCCAGGGGAGCAAACGGGAUUAGAUACCCCGGUAGUCCUGGCAGUAAACGAUGUAUGCUGGGUGUGAGACUAGCGAUAGUUUCGUGCCGAAGUUAACGCGAUAAGCAUACCGCCUGGGGAGUACGGUCGCAAGAUUGAAACUCAAAGGAAUUGACGGGG
RNAcentral lists this ribosomal RNA (394 nucleotides) under uncultured bacterium. RNAcentral describes it as "partial 16S ribosomal RNA". It matches the Rfam family "Bacterial small subunit ribosomal RNA", at positions 523 to 918 of the family's 1533-position model. The record is from RNAcentral.